UACGUAGGGUGCAAGCGUUGUCCGGAAUUAUUGGGCGUAAAGAGCUCGUAGGCGGUCUGUCGCGUCGGAUGUGAAAAUCCAGGGCUCAACCCUGGACCUGCAUUCGAUACGGGCAGACUAGAGUUCGGCAGGGGAGACUGGAAUUCCUGGUGUAGCGGUGAAAUGCGCAGAUAUCAGGAGGAACACCGGUGGCGAAGGCGGGUCGCUGGGCCGAUACUGACGCUGAGGAGCGAAAGCGUGGGGAGCGAACAGG
RNAcentral lists this ribosomal RNA (253 nucleotides) under uncultured bacterium. Its description in RNAcentral is "partial 16S ribosomal RNA". It matches the Rfam family "Bacterial small subunit ribosomal RNA", at positions 524 to 776 of the family's 1533-position model. The record is from RNAcentral.